AUGGCUCAGGAUGAACGCUGGCGGCGUGCUUAACACAUGCAAGUCGAACGAAGCAACUAUCUUGCUUGCAAGAGAGUUGACUUAGUGGCGGACGGGUGAGUAACGCGUGGGUAACCUGCCUCAUACAGGGGGAUAACAGUUGGAAACGACUGCUAAGACCGCAUAACCCGCUAGUGUCGCAUGACACGGACGGAAAAUAUUUAUAGGUAUGAGAUGGGCCCGCGUCUGAUUAGCUAGUUGGUAAGGUAACGGCUUACCAAGGCGACGAUCAGUAGCCGACUUGAGAGAGUGAUCGGCCACAUUGGGACUGAGACACGGCCCAAACUCCUACGGGAGGCAGCAGUGGGGAAUAUUGGACAAUGGGGGAAACCCUGAUCCAGCCGACGCCGCGUGAGUGAAGAAGUAUUUCGGUAUGUAAAGCUCUAUCAGCAGGGAAGAUAAUGACAGUACCUGACUAAGAAGCCCCGGCUAACUACGUGCCAGCCGCCGC
RNAcentral lists this ribosomal RNA (490 nucleotides) under uncultured bacterium. RNAcentral's name for it is "bacterial SSU rRNA". It matches the Rfam family "Bacterial small subunit ribosomal RNA", at positions 19 to 518 of the family's 1533-position model. The record is from RNAcentral.